RNAcentral lists this ribosomal RNA (484 nucleotides) under uncultured bacterium. RNAcentral describes it as "partial 16S ribosomal RNA". It matches the Rfam family "Bacterial small subunit ribosomal RNA", at positions 30 to 507 of the family's 1533-position model. The record is from RNAcentral.
AUUGAACGCUGGCGGCAGGCCUAACACAUGCAAGUCGAGCGGAUGAAGGGAGCUUGCUCCUGGAUUCAGCGGCGGACGGGUGAGUAAUGCCUAGGAAUCUGCCUGGUAGUGGGGGAUAACGUCCGGAAACGGGCGCUAAUACCGCAUACGUCCCGAGGGAGAAAGUGGGGGAUCUUCGGACCUCACGCUAUCAGAUGAGCCUAGGUCGGAUUAGCUAGUUGGUGGGGUAAAGGCCUAGCAAGGCGACGAUCCGUAACUGGUCUGAGAGGAUGAUCAGUCACACUGGAACUGAGACACGGUCCAGACUCCUACGGGAGGCAGCAGUGGGGAAUAUUGGACAAUGGGCGAAAGCCUGAUCCAGCCAUGCCGCGUGUGUGAAGAAGGUCUUCGGAUUGUAAAGCACUUUAAGUUGGGAGGAAGGGCAGUAAGUUAAUACCUUGCUGUUUUGACGUUACCAACAGAAUAAGCACCGGCUAACUUCGUG